GUAAUAACAAAUAUGAAAACAAAAAGUUAUGGCGGUACUUUAAGCUUUUCAGAGGAAUUUGCUCUUUAAUGGAUAAAACACCUUAAUCUUACUAAAAUUAGUAAAUUCAGUUUGUAUACCACUAUGAAAGUAAUAAUUAAUUAUUAUUACUAUAAUUUUUAUACAACUAGAAAAAUAAAUUAAGUCAUGGUGCAGCAAAAAUUUUAGUGUGAAGUGAAUUACAUUUCUUUUAAGAAAUUAAAUAUGAAAACAAAAAUUAGGAUUUGAAAGUAAAAAUAUAAUAUAAUGAUAUUUUGAAUUAAGUUCUGAAGUAUGUAC
Molecule: ribosomal RNA, 318 nt
Filed under: Amblyomma pilosum
Lineage: Eukaryota; Metazoa; Arthropoda; Arachnida; Ixodida; Ixodidae
Description: partial 12S ribosomal RNA
Source: RNAcentral